RNAcentral lists this ribosomal RNA (566 nucleotides) under uncultured bacterium. RNAcentral describes it as "partial 16S ribosomal RNA". It matches the Rfam family "Bacterial small subunit ribosomal RNA", at positions 355 to 914 of the family's 1533-position model. The record is from RNAcentral.
UGGGGAAUUUUGGACAAUGGGCGAAAGCCUGAUCCAGCAAUGCCGCGUGAGUGAAGAAGGCCUUCGGGUUGUAAAGCUCUUUUGUCAGGGAAGAAACGGUGAAAGCUAAUAUCUUUUGCUAAUGACGGUACCUGAAGAAUAAGCACCGGCUAACUACGUGCCAGCAGCCGCGGUAAUACGUAGGGUGCAAGCGUUAAUCGGAAUUACUGGGCGUAAAGCGUGCGCAGGCGGUUUUGUAAGUCUGAUGUGAAAUCCCCGGGCUCAACCUGGGAAUUGCAUUGGAGACUGCAAGGCUAGAAUCUGGCAGAGGGGGGUAGAAUUCCACGUGUAGCAGUGAAAUGCGUAGAUAUGUGGAGGAACACCGAUGGCGAAGGCAGCCCCCUGGGUCAAGAUUGACGCUCAUGCACGAAAGCGUGGGGAGCAAACAGGAUUAGAUACCCUGGUAGUCCACGCCCUAAACGAUGUCUACUAGUUGUCGGGUCUUAAUUGACUUGGUAACGCUGCUAACGCGUGAAGUAGACCGCCUGGGGAGUACGGUCGCAAGAUUAAAACUCAAAUGAAUUGAC